AGAUGUGAGGGUGAUCUGGCUGCGACAUCUGUCACCCCAUUGAUCGCCAGGGUUUGUUCGGCUGAUCUGGCUGGCUAGGCGGGUGUCCCCUUCCUCCCUCGACGCUCCAUGUGCGUCCCUCCCGAAUCUCUCAAGAAAUACAUUCUGCACCUUUAUGAACUUGCAACCUCUUUUCAGGUUGGCAGGGACCAAUGGUUACAAGAAAUGAUAGACUUGUCAUGUUACAAUUGAUUACUCCCUAUCUGAAAGAUUGCUCAAGUGGUGUUAACAGUUCAGUGGACUGUGUUAAAACC
This is an unclassified non-coding RNA of Mesocricetus auratus (golden hamster), 293 nucleotides long. Its record names the gene 7SK. It matches the Rfam family "7SK RNA". Rfam says of the family: 7SK was discovered as an abundant small nuclear RNA in the mid-70s but a possible function has only recently been suggested. Two independent studies have found that 7SK RNA binds the CDK9/cyclin T complex (known as elongation factor P-TEFb). The record is from Ensembl. Lineage: Eukaryota; Metazoa; Chordata; Mammalia; Rodentia; Cricetidae.